RNAcentral lists this transfer RNA (75 nucleotides) under Podarcis lilfordi (Lilford's wall lizard). Its description in RNAcentral is "tRNA.Lys". The stretch from base 10 to 67 matches the Rfam family "tRNA", at positions 8 to 63 of the family's 71-position model. Rfam says of the family: Transfer RNA (tRNA) molecules are approximately 80 nucleotides in length. Their secondary structure includes four short double-helical elements and three loops (D, anti-codon, and T loops). Further hydrogen bonds mediate the characteristic L-shaped molecular structure. tRNAs have two regions of fundamental functional importance: the anti-codon, which is responsible for specific mRNA codon recognition, and the 3' end, to which the tRNAs corresponding amino acid is attached (by aminoacyl-tRNA synthetases). tRNAs cope with the degeneracy of the genetic code in two manners: having more than one tRNA (with a specific anti-codon) for a particular amino acid; and 'wobble' base-pairing, i.e. permitting non-standard base-pairing at the 3rd anti-codon position. Lineage: Eukaryota; Metazoa; Chordata; Lepidosauria; Squamata; Lacertidae. The record is from RNAcentral.
GCCAAGGGAUAGCUCAGUUGGUAGAGCGUGAGGCUCUUAAUCUUAGGGUUGUGGGUUUGAGCCCCACGUUGGGCA